Lolium rigidum is the source of this 2431-nucleotide long non-coding RNA. RefSeq lists it as uncharacterized. Lineage: Eukaryota; Viridiplantae; Streptophyta; Magnoliopsida; Poales; Poaceae. The transcript is spliced from 2 exons. The record is from RefSeq and is a predicted model, not a curated record.
CUUAAUUAGUAGUCUUAAAUCUUUAAGAUAUACCGUCUAUGUUUGUACUGUCACUAGGUUGCGUCCUGACAACCUUGAUGUUUUUGUGUAAAGCUUAAACUGCAAUAAAUUAACUAUUACUGGUUUUAUAUGACACCUUCUAACUUUGAUCUUUAUAGUCUGGUCAUUUCCAAAUGUCUCGCUUUCCUGUCAUAGGAAUCAUAUCCACACAUGUCGGGUCUUCUAAUUCUAAACCACUUCAUUUUUUAGCUUAACAAAAUUUCUCUCCUUGUAGGUUUCAUCUCUUGCUUGGUCAGAACCGAUGGAAGUUUUUUGUGCUUUCAUUACUCAGCUGUUGGUUGGGCAAGGGUGCCUCUUAUUAGACCAACAAACUUACCUUGUGAAUUUUUUACGACAUUAGCCCAAUUAAUCCUGUAUGAUAUAUGGCAUACCCUGAUGCACAUACGAUUUAGCUUUCUUAGCUUGAGUUUGUCUUUUCAAAUCCACUUCAGCAAGAUUUUUUUUAUGGUAAUCUGCAAUAUUGUAUAUCUCAUAACUUAUCCACUAAAUUAACAAUUCAGUAAUACCCUGAUGCAUAUACGAUUUAGCUUUCUUAGCUUGAGUUUGUCUUUUCAAAUCCACUCCAGCAAGAUUUCUUCCGCUAAUCUGCAGUAUUGUAUAUAUCACAACUUCCCCGCUAAAUUAACAAUUCAGUAAUCUCAAAUAGUAUUAGUGUCACCUCUCUGAACAUAGUUAGCUGGAUUCAUCUUGCAGAUGGACUUCCCAUCUUAGAUGAUUUAUCAAAUUUACUGACUCUAAUAUGCAAUAUUUUACCAUCAUAUAGUAGGAGUAUCUUUUCUGCAACUGGAAAAAGGUUCCUGUAAUUUAUGUAGAUGUUCUGCAACAUAUAGCACGAGGUACUUGUGGAAUUUGAUUUCUUUAGAUCAUUUUACUAUUUUUUACCUAGACCUGGGCAGGGUCAUUGUUCGUAGUUGUACUUGAAAGGUAGGAGUUCAAUGUCGUGUGUGAAUUUGAACUGUCAUUUAUUAGAAAACCUUGGUAAUCUUGAUGGAGAAACCAUUCCCACCCAAGUUAUUACUAUUUUGUUUUCUGCAAAUUAAAAUUUAGGGCUCGAAAUAGUCUUGAUGAGGCCAAGAUUUUGGUCUCUGUAGACAGCCUUUUGAAUAAAGUUAUUUUUUCGAGCGUUAGAAACUAUUGCCACCCAAAUUAUUUCAAAAGCCUUAUCGCCUGCAGUUGGAAUGUUCAAAACAUGGGGGCUGACAUUUUCCCAUAUGAGGCAACAAUGCAGAAGUUACAUGAUCUUGCUCAGUCCAUCUUUUGAACAAACCCAGUGCAGGCAUCAGGCUCUUAGAGGAUUAUAUGGUUCUGUGGUUCAUGUCUACACACAUCUGGUCUGGCCCUGAAAAAUUCUUAUAAUCUCUCUAUGGUUUGUGGUUCAAAUAGACCACAUGCAGCGGUUUCUUCCGUUCUGUGAUCUUUUCAGCUGAAGAGAUCUUACUAGAACAAUCUCUUUAUGCGUUGGACAUUGUCUACUGACCGUAUGAGAAGGUCAUGAGGAUUCCUAUUGGAGCAUGGCCUACGCUGGUUGACGAAUGGGCAUGAUAAGAAGCUGCUUUAAGUAAGCGGAGACUUGUGUUGCCCCAGACCAAGCUCAAGGACAGGGUUAGAGUUGAAAUGAGGUUUCCUUCACAGGGUAAUUUAUCAUGUUGGCCACUGCCUCCUGAGUUUUUACAUAAUGGGACCAUCUGGUAGUAAUUUAUGUUGUAACUAUGAGUUUUUAUGCAAUAAAUUCAAGUUUGAAUUGAAUACUUAUGCCAGUGGCGCAGCAGGUCAUCUGUUGUUUCAUAAGAGUUUCGACCUGAUCUGAUCACCUGACUGUUUUAUCCAAUGUUGUUGCUUGCGACAAUAUUCGCUAAAUUUACAUAGAAUGUACAUAUAAGUCUCACCAUUUAGGUUCUGUAAUAUGCUUAUGAUGGUUACAAUAUUAUUUUGCUUUUGCCUUUGCGCCGGAUUUAAUGGAUUGGAAAAAUUGUAUGUUGAAAGAGUAAAAAUAAAGUGAUGUGUGGUGGGAGUACAAGGGAGAAGCUCAAUUGAACUAAGAGAGCUGCAUGUAUGCUAUGAUUGUUUUGUUCUUAUGCACCACUUUCCACUUGAACUUUUGUUUCAGUGCUUAGACAUUGUUUCAUACUGUUUCGUGUUACCACAUUACUCAUCCUCUCUCACUCCCAUGCCCACCAAGAUCCAGCAUGCACAUAGGAGGAGGGACGACCAGGAGGUGGCGGCUUGCAGACAUGGAGGAGAACGAAUUGUAGAAAAGAACUUAAUACGCAUCAACCAUGGAGCUUUUGUGUCGUUGCUUUCUGUGCGUGAAUUUUGGUGUAUUUUACAAUUCUUCUUGUGAUCUGCCAAGAGGGAGAAAAUUACAGUGUUA